CAAACCAGCAUUUCAUCUCCGAGGAAGUUAUCCCAGAGAGAAGUAAAGCAAGUGUUAUUUUGGACAUGAUUUUGGAGUCCAUCUUCGCAGUAGCGAUUGACUGCAAAAUAAAGCUACCGGAAAUGUACAACUCUACAGCUGUGUCCGCAUUCAGGGGAAGGAUGCUCCGAAGGACAUAUUUGGAGGCAAUGACAUCACAGCGACACGACGAAGGCUGUCCGAAUUCAAAGAGUCCUUCAAAUGUGGCGACAAAUGCAUCCUACUUUUCCCCAAAUUUUAAGGAUGGGUCUGAUGUAUCCUUCGUGUCCUACCAUAUCCCAGGAUUCAUUGUGGGGUAUACAGGAGAUUUUUUUUCUGAUAAUGAUGGUGGUUGAAGUGGGAGAGGAAAACACUUUCAAAUGUAAGUAUAUGAAAAUCUGGUUGUACAAAAGUUAAAUUGUUAUAGCGGUUGUGUUUUUAAGCUAUGGGCAUCUGCAUAGACAUGUUUUAAAAAAAAAAAAAAUUUAAAUAACCCUAAACUAUAUACUGAUUUUUUCGAAUUAAUCGUUAUGGUGAUAUGUUGUGGGGAACAAAGACCAAACGGCUCAAUUUAUUAAAACGAGGAGAAAACCAUCACCUCUUCACUGGGGUGAAGAGUUGGGCCACUGUGGCGUGGAGGUACAAGAAUAAAUCAAUUUACACAUCAUAUUCAUAUGAGUAUGGUUUUAUUAACCCUCAUGCUGUACCCAACCUUUUUUUGCGCCAUGGACCGGUUUAAUGCGCCCCGGUCGCUAUGGUAACGUGUAAAUAUUUCUUUCAAACUAAGACACACAACUACAACACAGGAAAAGACCCAGAGAACGAUACAAACCCGGAAAACCAUAAAUUUCACACCAGAGCCUCAACUGUCGUGGCCCGAUACCAAACGACUAUGGGACCGACAGGACGAUACUGGAGAUGGGCCUGCAGGGGAAAGUCACCCCCUUGCAGGCCAGAAGACAUGGGAUAACUUUAAAAAAUACAAAGAUUGCAAGUAUCCAGGGUCAGGACAGGGAGUCAGUGGGAAGCCCACUGCUGCUACUUGUCCCUGGUUUGCCCUCAUGGAUGAGGUAAUAGGACAGAGGCCUUCCAUUAGGUCUCCUGUCCAAAUUUCCUCUCUCCCUGAGGACACUCCAGGGCCAAGCGCAGCAGUGGGUGACCAAAACGAAAGCGAGGAGGAAGAGAGUGAGCCACCCACAACAGGGAGGAACAGGAGAAGAGACAGGGCUGAUGAGCUGCUAGACCUCAUCAGAGAGGACAUGAGGAAGCAAAGGGAGGCUGAGGAGAGGAGAGCGCAGGAGAGCAGGCAGAGGAUGGACACACUGUUUUCAGUUCUUGAAAGAUUGGUUCCAAAAUGAGUUAUGCAUUAAGAUACUUAUUUAUUUGAAUAUAUUUGUUACAUUGUUAUAUGUGUUGCAUUAU
Long non-coding RNA from Oreochromis aureus, 1440 nucleotides. RefSeq lists it as uncharacterized. The transcript has 3 exons. The record is from RefSeq and is a predicted model, not a curated record. NCBI's taxonomy places the organism in Eukaryota, Metazoa, Chordata, Actinopteri, Cichliformes, Cichlidae.